UACAGAGGGUGCGAGCGUUAAUCGGAAUUACUGGGCGUAAAGCGUGCGUAGACGGUUAUGUAAGUCGGGUGUGAAAGCCCCGGGCUCAACCUGGGAAUUGCGAUGGAGACUGCACGGCUAGAGUGUGUCAGAGGGGGGUAGAAUUCCACGUGUAGCAGUGAAAUGCGUAGAUAUGUGGAGGAACACCGAUGGCGAAGGCAGCCCCCUGGGAUAACACUGACGCUCAUGCACGAAAGCGUGGGGAGCAAACAGG
RNAcentral lists this ribosomal RNA (253 nucleotides) under uncultured bacterium. RNAcentral's name for it is "partial 16S ribosomal RNA". It matches the Rfam family "Bacterial small subunit ribosomal RNA", at positions 524 to 776 of the family's 1533-position model. The record is from RNAcentral.